AGUGAACGCUGGCGGUAGGCCUAACACAUGCAAGUCGAACGGCAGCACAGUAAGAGCUUGCUCUUACGGGUGGCGAGUGGCGGACGGGUGAGGAAUACAUCGGAAUCUACUUUUUCGUGGGGGAUAACGUAGGGAAACUUACGCUAAUACCGCAUACGACCUACGGGUGAAAGCAGGGGAUCUUCGGACCUUUCGCGAUUGAAUGAGCCGAUGUCGGAUUAGCUAGUUGGCGGGGUAAAGGCCCACCAAGGCGACGAUCCGUAGCUGGUCUGAGAGGAUGAUCAGCCACACUGGAACUGAGACACGGUCCAGACUCCUACGGGAGGCAGCAGUGGGGAAUAUUGGACAAUGGGCGCAAGCCUGAUCCAGCCAUACCGCGUGGGUGAAGAAGGCCUUCGGGUUGUAAAGCCCUUUUGUUGGGAAAGAAAAGCAGCAGGUUAAUACCCCGCUGUUCUGACGGUACCCAAGGAAUAAGCACCGGCUAACUUCGUG
This 492-nucleotide ribosomal RNA is filed under the name uncultured bacterium. Its description in RNAcentral is "partial 16S ribosomal RNA". It matches the Rfam family "Bacterial small subunit ribosomal RNA", at positions 29 to 507 of the family's 1533-position model. The record is from RNAcentral.